This 492-nucleotide ribosomal RNA is filed under the name uncultured bacterium. RNAcentral's name for it is "partial 16S ribosomal RNA". It matches the Rfam family "Bacterial small subunit ribosomal RNA", at positions 29 to 507 of the family's 1533-position model. The record is from RNAcentral.
AGUGAACGCUGGCGGUAGGCCUAACACAUGCAAGUCGAACGGCAGCACAGUAAGAGCUUGCUCUUACGGGUGGCGAGUGGCGGACGGGUGAGGAAUACAUCGGAAUCUACUUUUUCGUGGGGGAUAACGUAGGGAAACUUACGCUAAUACCGCAUACGACCUACGGGUGAAAGCAGGGGAUCUUCGGACCUUGCGCGAUUGAAUGAGCCGAUGUCGGAUUAGCUAGUUGGCGGGGUAAAGGCCCACCAAGGCGACGAUCCGUAGCUGGUCUGAGAGGAUGAUCAGCCACACUGGAACUGAAACACGGUCCAGACCCCUAAGGGAGGCAGCAGUGGGGAAUAUUGGACAAUGGGCGCAAGCCUGAUCCAGCCAUACCGCGUGGGUGAAGAAGGCCUUCGGGUUGUAAAGCCCUUUUGUUGGGAAAGAAAAGCAGCAGGUUAAUACCCCGCUGUUCUGACGGUACCCAAAGAAUAAGCACCGGCUAACUUCGUG